UGUAAAUGUAAAUAUUUUUAUUAAAAAAGAAUUGGAAGGCAUAGAAACCAAAGCCACUUCUGUGGCUGACCUAAAAGAAACUAUUUACAGUGCUGGGGUGGGGCUGGCCUGGGCAGGGCAUGGGCCUUGGCUUUCUUAGCACUCAUUGUCCUGACAACCCCCCCCCCCCCCGCACUCCCACCCCUGGGGAGCAAAGACAAGCACAGAACUGGCUGGGAGGAUGGAGGAGACGCCGCCGUUACAGCAGUCAGGGGGCAAGAGGACGCAUCCAGGGAGGCCAGGCUGGAAAGGCACCGGCAAAGGAGCAGCCCAACCCCAGGCAGAGGUGGAGAUGCUGUUGUUAGAAGCCAGAGAAAGAGCCCAGUGCGAAGGCCCACAGGACACGGAUGGGGCAAAGGCUUCUACUAGGCCCACCGAAGCUGGCUGAGCAGCUCCCAGGCGAGCGGAGUCCGUGCACCGGUGUCCAGCCUGCGUAGGGCGGGAACUGCGGCCAGCGCAGUUGGCUUGUCCUGAGCCGCCUGCCCUUCUUCUCGGGCACUUUCAGCUGCAAGGAUCGAACUCAGGACCUUGCAUAUGCCAGGCAGGCACAACGCCGCUGAGCUACAUCCCCGGCCUGAGGUACACUUUUAGAUACGUUGGCCGUGCUGAAUUACAGUACCUUUUCUCUCUCUCUUUUUUCCUAUUGUGCAUCUUUUAUGUUGCACUUUAUUGUUUGUUUUUUUGUUUUUGGUACCGGGGAUCAAACUCGGGACCUUGAGCUUGUGUGGAAGGUGCCAGAACCACUGAGCUAAAUCCCCAGCCCUAUUUUGCACUUUAUUUCUACAUCGAGUUUCUCACAGAAGAGAAACCAUUUGAUAUUUAAACUGUGUGUCUGAUUUGCUUCACUUAACAUUAUGGUCUCAAGGUGCGUCCGUUUUGCUACAAAUGACUUGAGUUUAUUCUUAUUGGGCUUAGAUUUUCUUUAAAAUUCUUGUAGAAUUUGGCAGUGAAAUUUUUAGGACCUGGGCUUUUUUUAGUUGAUAGUUUUAAAAAUUAUUUCAAUCUCAUUGACUGAUACAGUAUUAGUCAGGAUUUUUAUAUCUUCCUGGCUCAGGUUUUGUAGUUCAUAUGUACCUAGGAAUGUCCCCAUUUCUUCUGAAUUUUCACUUUUAUUAGGGUAUCGAUUGUCGGAGUAGUUACCAAUGACCUUCUGGGUUUCAGAAGAAUAUGUUGUGAUUUCACUUUUUUCAUUUCUAAUUGCAUGGAUUUGGGUCUUAUUUUGUGAAGAUUGGCUAAGCAUCUGUCUAUUUUGUUUAUUCUUUCAAAGAAUCCAAUUCUGACUCAUUGAUUGUUUUUUUUGGUAUUGUUUUUGUCCUAAUUUUAUUAGUUUCUGCUCUGAUCCUUGUAAUUUCCUUCCUUGUACUGGCUUUGGAUUUGGAUUGUUCUUGUUUUUCUAGGACCUUGAGGUGCAGCACUGGCUAUUUAUUUGAGCUCACUGUCUUCUGACGUGGGGAUUCACUGCUAUAAACUUCCCUCUUAGGACAGCUUUCGUUGUGUCUCAUAGGUUCUGGAAUGUUGUACUGGCAUUAUUGUUUGUUUAUAGGAACUAAUUUCUUCAUUAAUUUCAUCCAAAACCAUUGAUUAUUCAAGAAGGGAUUGUUUAAUAUCCAUGUAUUUGCAUAGUUUAUGUGAUUUCUUUUGCCACUGAUUUCUAGUUCCAUUGCACUGUGAUCUGAUAAUAUGCAUGGGAUAAUUACUUAAGCAUGCUGUAUGGGCUAGUUUAUGACCUAUUUUGGAGAAAGUCCCAUGUGGUGUUGAGAAGAAUGUGCAUUCUGGUGUUCUUGGAUGGAACCCUCUGUAGAUAUCUAUUAAGUCCAUUUGUUUGAAGAUUUGGUUGAACUCUGAUAUUUCCUUGUUGAUUUUUUGUCUAGUUUAUCUCUUUUUUUGUGAUAGUAGGGUACUGGGGUCCCCCAUAACAAUAUAACAAUUGUAUUUGUGUUUAUCUGAUUUUUCAUGUCCAUUGGUGUUUGUUUUAUAAAGUUGGGGGUGCUGGUAUUUGAGA
Molecule: long non-coding RNA, 2041 nt
Filed under: Heterocephalus glaber (naked mole-rat)
Lineage: Eukaryota; Metazoa; Chordata; Mammalia; Rodentia; Bathyergidae
Description: lncRNA (ENSHGLG00100041118.1)
Source: RNAcentral